RNAcentral lists this ribosomal RNA (460 nucleotides) under uncultured bacterium. Its description in RNAcentral is "partial 16S ribosomal RNA". It matches the Rfam family "Bacterial small subunit ribosomal RNA", at positions 338 to 795 of the family's 1533-position model. The record is from RNAcentral.
CCUACGGGAGGCAGCAGUGAGGAAUAUUGGUCAAUGGACGCGAGCCUGAACCAGCCAAGUAGCGUGAAGGAUGACUGCCCUACGGGUUGUAAACUUCUUUUAUAAAGGAAUAAAGUGAGGCACGUGUGCCUUUUUGCAUGUACUUUAUGAAUAAGGAUCGGCUAACUCCGUGCCAGCAGCCGCGGUAAUACGGAGGAUCCGAGCGUUAUCCGGAUUUAUUGGGUUUAAAGGGAGCGUAGAUGGGUUGUUAAGUCAGUUGUGAAAGUUUGCGGCUCAACCGGAAAAUUGCAAUUGAUACUGGCAGUCUUGAGUACAGUAGAGGUAGGCGGAAUUCGUGGUGUAGCGGUGAAAUGCGUAGAUAUCACGAAGAACACCGAUUGCGAAGGCAGCUUACUAAACUGCCACUGACACUGAGGCUCGAAAGUGUGGGUAGCAAACAGGAUUAGAUACCCUAGUAGUC